AUUGAACGCUGGCGGCAUGCCUAACACAUGCAAGUCGAACGGCAGCACAGCAGUAGCAAUACUGUGGGUGGCGAGUGGCGGACGGGUGAGGAAUACGUCGGAAUCUGCCCAGUCGUGGGGGAUAACUAGCCGAAAGGUUAGCUAAUACCGCAUACGACCGAGAGGUGAAAGCGGGGGGACCGCAAGGCCUCGCGCGAUUGGAUGAGCCGACGUCGGAUUAGCUAGUUGGCGGGGUAAAGGCCACCAAGGCGACGAUCCGUAGCUGGUCUGAGAGGAUGAUCAGCCACACUGGAACUGAGACACGGUCCAGACUCCUACGGGAGGCAGCAGUGGGGAAUAUUGGACAAUGGGCGCAAGCCUGAUCCAGCAAUGCCGCGUGUGUGAAGAAGGCCUC
This 394-nucleotide ribosomal RNA is filed under the name uncultured bacterium. RNAcentral's name for it is "bacterial SSU rRNA". It matches the Rfam family "Bacterial small subunit ribosomal RNA", at positions 29 to 418 of the family's 1533-position model. The record is from RNAcentral.